Brachypodium distachyon (stiff brome) is the source of this 797-nucleotide long non-coding RNA. RefSeq lists it as uncharacterized. The transcript is spliced from 2 exons. The record is from RefSeq and is a predicted model, not a curated record. NCBI's taxonomy places the organism in Eukaryota, Viridiplantae, Streptophyta, Magnoliopsida, Poales, Poaceae.
CGUGCGCCUCCCGUCUCUAUAUUCUUCCUGCCUCUUCUCAAAGCAGCAGUUGCACUCUUUCUUUCUUUCUCCCAAACGCACAGCCACUCCCUCUGCCCUCUCUCCACUCUUCAACCGAAGGUCUCCCAUGGUGCAGCACCGAAGAAGAUCCAUCACAAGGGGAAUCAACCGGCGAUCAAGAGCAUGAACAGUACACACCGGCCAGGAAGAGAAAGCCAAGCGUUGCACAUCAGGAAGAGAAGGAUUGCAGAAGGCUUCAUCUGAACGACUACAGCAGCCACCAAUUUCGUCUCUCCUCUCUGAUCUACUUCUGUUCCUCAAAUUGACCUCGCCGGCCGCUGCUCCGCCGCCCGCGCGCGACCUACUCCACCACUGCUGACCUCGCUGGUCGAUGCUCCUCCAUAAGCGUGCGGCCACUUCGUUGGCCUCGACCUUGCCGCUGCCCUCGUCGGCCUCCGCCGCUGUCCGCCAAGGUGGGGAAGAGGAUGGGGAUGAGUGCGCGAGAGAGAAACAAGCCAGCGAGAGAGAUUGAAGAGGCACCCGCCCUGCGUGAGCCGUGUGAGUCGGCCAAUUCCAUCAGCUCACGCGGACCGCCGUUUUGGGCAAUUUUUGGCUCGCUGGUGACCCCGACCCCCAAUCCCAACACACCCCAAUUGAGUCAUAGUUGCCGUGUAAGAAAAAUCGAGGACGUUUCGUGACGUUCGAAAAAUCAUGUGCCUCCACAGAAUAGGAUCAAAAAAAAUUCCCAUUGUACUAUAUGAAUCUCAAACAUGACUGGCUGAUUUUUUUUCGUGUUU